Molecule: RNA transcript, 3343 nt
Organism: Haplochromis burtoni (Burton's mouthbrooder)
Lineage: Eukaryota; Metazoa; Chordata; Actinopteri; Cichliformes; Cichlidae
Gene: fam149b1
Gene name: family with sequence similarity 149 member B1
Exons: 16
Source: RefSeq, a predicted model, not a curated record
CCAUGACACCCGCGUUAUUUUUGUUGUUGGUGGUGAUGCUAGCUUUAGCAAAGAAUAUCCUAUGAGCUGGCGAUAGCUUGCUCCAAUAACGUUAAACACUCAUUAAAAAAAUAUAUAUAUGUAUGUAUAUAUAUACAUAUAUAUAUAUAUAGCGAGAGAAACGUAAUUAAUAGUGAACUUCUGGGCUACCUAAUAUGCUCAUUUAGUAAACCAAGUAUUAUUUUAUGAGGGAAUGUGGAAAUUCUAUGAUGCUAUUUGUGCCUUUUUUAAUAAUCUGGCCACCCUCGUACCAGUAGCUAGCUUAGUUUUUUUGGACGUAGCUUAGCUGCAGCCGUUAAGAAACAGCGUCUCUAUCCAGAGUAUCUGCGGGCUAAUAUUAGAGGAAAUGUCAGAGCUCCAUCUGAACCGUUCCCUGAGCGUCCUGGAAGUGGAGGCGAGGAGGAGAGGAGAGGGUUUGAGCAUAUAAAACAGAGGCAAAGGAGAAUGAUUUCACGAUACAACCGGAGACCUGUAUCGCACAAACUCGAGAUUCGUGGGUUGUCUCGAAGCAGCCUUGACCACCAUCCUCUUCCAGAAGAAGCAGACGACAACCAAACCCCUCCGUGCUACCUCCAUGACCUGCAGGAAGCUGCUUCUGCGCACAACAGCUCAGAGACAUCUGCUGCUUCAGGCCACUCUCAGUGCCCCACUGUCAUCUCAGUAGACUCCAGCCAGUCCUGGUUAGGUAUUCACAGCUCCACGGGUACUGGCAUCUCCACCGAGAGGAGCUCUGUUUUCUCCUGGGGCUACGAUGAGUUUGACAAGGCGGCAUCACGGCAGGUGCAGCAAAUGUUUGAGGAGAUCGACAAAGAUCUUUAUGAGGGAAGAGGCAGUGGGGGAGGGAUACUCCAGGGGCUCCAGGAUGAAUGUCAGCAGUGGGCCACACGUUUCCCUCAUCUUCGUAUCCUGGGGACUCAGCUGCUGUGUCCCAGUGAUGAAGGCUUCCAGUGGUAUACUACCUCAGGGAAAGGCAGCGCUUCCAGCAGGCUGUCAGCGGGCAAAGAAAGCAGCGUUAAACCCCAGGAGAAAGACAGGGAAGGAACAGAGUUGAAUGUGCAGGGCCGGAGAGCACAUCUGAUCAGAUCCAAUUCACCAGACUUGGACGCUCAGCCUGGUACCUCCAGCGGCAUUGGCAGCCAUAACAAGAAUAGAGUGACUGAACUAGAGGGUCAGAUGGAGGAAUAUCUUGCUUUUGAUAGCACAGACUUGGAGGAUGACCAGUGGGAACAGGAUUGCUCCGAGUCGAGUCGGAGGCAUAAAUGUCUGCCCCCAGUCUCACCAUACCGGUGUCGCCGCCACGCUGUUCUCGAUCUGCUGUUUGAUGAUGUGUGGUGGCAGCUCAUUGGCUGCAUGAAAGAGCUGGUUCAACGCCACUGGGAAUGCUGCACUUCACAUGAUGAAAAUAUUUCUGGGAACUUGAGCCCCGUGCAGCAAGAUUUCCAGAAUCCCUUUAUGCUGCUCUCCACGCUGCCCACGAUGCUGCCCAAACUUGGCCAGAGCCGGGUGCCCCCACUCACAGCUGGCAUGCAGUUCCAGAACACAAAGUCAAGGGGCUCAAAGCACAAGUCCAGACGGAAAUCCAAAAAGCAGAAAAGGCCUUCCAGUGCUGGAAGAGUCCCUGUAGGAGCAGCCGCGACUCAGCACAACCUGAACGACCUCAUCGUGAUCCACAGCAUCCCCCUUCAGCAGAGGAACCUGGGUGUGCCGGAUAGAAGCCAGGAGCCAGAAGAGCGUGCGUCUCACAGACCGAGAUCUAGCGCGGUCCCCUCCAACAAACCUCGCCCUCGCCGACCCCUGGAGCAGAGCUCUUCCUCGCUGUCCCGCCCAGCACAAUCGGCCCGACGCAGGAACCCUCCUCCCCGAACCCUCCUGCCUCUUGUUCCCAAUCCGAGUCAGUCGAGCGCAGUGGGAUCCAUGGAUGAGGUCAUCCGCGGGACACGUCUACCCACAGCCAGUGACCAACUGAACUCUCCACCAUUGCCUCUAAGCAGAAACACACUCCUUCCGCCCAUUAGCACCGGAGACCCAGACUCAUCUUACUCAGGGCAGCCAUCUAAAACUGCACAGCGCCAGAAGGGCCCAUCUAGCCGUGCCCACAGUGCUAUAAAUGACAAAGCUGGCAGCUCAGUUCCGAGGGAUCGCCACCACCUACUGGACGUUUUCUCUCGCCCCAACACAACCCACACUUACAGGAUACUCCAUACCGUCGAUCCUUCACAGUAUUGGACAACAUUGGGCAGGGGCGGCCAGGCAGAGCCUCUGUGGGCACAGACUCCCUUGGAAUCGGUGUGACGGGCAUCAGUCUUGGCAUCAGCAGCUCGUCUUUUUUGGACUCAUUUUCCCACCACCCCUUGGGGCACUCGCCCAUCAAAGACGAAGAGGAGCCGGACCCGCAAGCCCCUGUCCCAGCUCCACUGGUGCCUGCGUCAGUCCCGUCUCGGUCUCACACCCGAGGAGGCAUCUCAUCCAGAGGCAGCAGACCUGGCUUGUAGUUUGCCUCUAAACUCCAGACUUUUGAGCCACUCAUCCUUAUUAAAGUGCAACAAAGUGCAAUGCUCUGCAGCAUCCGUGCCCACUGAACUGUUUUGUUUUACAGAAGUAGCAGGUUCUUUUUUUCAUAUUGCGCUGCUUUUGUAAUAUUUUUGUUAAAACCCUAUUUUUGUAUUUCAAAAAUCAGCUUAUGAGGCUGCCAAACAGAAAUAAUUAUUAACAAUAACUCCAUCUUCAUGUACAGUAUGAGCUGCAUAUUUAGACCUUAGUUCAUGUAUGAUGUAAAUAUGUAUAUAUCUAUUUAUAUGUGAACGUACUGUAUAUUAUCCUCUGUGCUGCGUUGUUGUACCAGGAACCCACUAUGCAGGGAAUAACACAUUCAUCCCGACAGGAUUACAGAGGAUAAAAAGCACUUUUUUUCCCUCUCUGAAGCUAAAUCAGAGAGUUUGGUACUGUAUCUUUUAUAGGGACACGACAAGCAUUUAUCCAUAGCCUCUUUGCAUAUCAUCGUACACAGGAAGGAAAACAAAAAGACGAGCUUAUUUUAAAUCACGAGAGGGGCUGUGGGUUUUAAACUGCAUGACACGACAGCAAAAGGAACAUAAGAGGCAGUGAUAUUAAACUUUAUUUGUAAAUAGCUUGUCACGUAUGUACAAAACAUUUUACGGGAUGUAACGUUUUUAAAUCUAAGCUAAGCCAAGCGGGGGUGCUUUGACAGGUAACAUCAGGGUUACUGCAAAAAGGUAAAUUUAUAUGUAUUCAGGAUCAUUUAUCAGACAGCCAUGCCACAAAGCUUGAAAAAAAAAAAAAGUCA